Molecule: small nuclear RNA, 103 nt
Organism: Acomys russatus (golden spiny mouse)
Lineage: Eukaryota; Metazoa; Chordata; Mammalia; Rodentia; Muridae
Source: RefSeq, a predicted model, not a curated record
UCACUUUGGCAGUAAAUGUACUAAAAUUGAAACGAUAAAGAAUUGGUUAGCCUGGCCUCUAAGCAAGACUGACACACAAAAUUGUAAACCAUUUCAUAUUUUA